This 31-nucleotide non-coding RNA is filed under the name Rattus norvegicus (Norway rat). The record is from RNAcentral. Lineage: Eukaryota; Metazoa; Chordata; Mammalia; Rodentia; Muridae.
UUCGUCAGGCAAGUCUGUGCAAGCUGGCACC